This 656-nucleotide long non-coding RNA is filed under the name Homo sapiens (human). RNAcentral's name for it is "HSALNT0393831". The record is from RNAcentral. Lineage: Eukaryota; Metazoa; Chordata; Mammalia; Primates; Hominidae.
UAUAGCACUGUCAGUCACUGUACACAACCUCCUAAAAGCAGAUGAUGCAAUAAUAGGACUGUUCCAUGGCAGCACAUGACACAGUUGUAUUCCAGUGACCAUGAAGAAAGUGGUAAAGCCAAAAACUGGGAGGAAGGAGAGCUCCUGAGAGGUCAGCGUGGCUGAUCAGGGAAGGCUGACAGCAGGAAGAGGGGAGAUGCUCCUAAGAACAGUUUGAACACACCGAUGCAUAAACAAACCUCCCUUCCUGUUAGUAUCUGACACACGAGCCACACAAGGUGACAGUGAAAAAGACAAGCAAAUGUAAAGGAGGUGAUAGACUCUUAGAAGCUACCGUACUCGCUCGUGGAUAGAGUGAUGGCGGCAGCCAACUCUGCCAAACCUGCUGCUCCUGGCAAGUCCCACAGCCAGUGCCAUGUUGGGCACGGUCAUCUCUCUUGGACUCUGACACUGCCUCGCGGCAGCCCUUGUUCCUGCAGCCUCACCCCAGUGGCUUGUUCUAUGCUACUAACAAAUUAGAAUUGGUUGCCUCCUGCCUCCUGUCUCCUGUUUCCAAACUUGAACAGCUCCAGUGGUCUCAGGAUAAAGUCCAGCCUCUUCCCCAGGAUGUUCAAGGCACUCUGGGAUCCAAGUCUUUUUUGUUUUUGUUUUGUUUU